Molecule: long non-coding RNA, 2396 nt
Organism: Jatropha curcas
Lineage: Eukaryota; Viridiplantae; Streptophyta; Magnoliopsida; Malpighiales; Euphorbiaceae
Product: zinc finger BED domain-containing protein RICESLEEPER 3
Source: RefSeq, a predicted model, not a curated record
UUGAUAGACACACAACUCCUUAUGUGCUCCUUUUUAACUACUUAUAAUUACUUUUUUAAACUGAGAGAUACAUGAGGAAGUUAGCUCAUCAAAUCUUAAUUGCUGUUGAUCAACUUAGUACCUCACUUAUUAGGAUUGAUUAGGGUUUCUUUGCAAUAUAGAAAACCCCGUUUGUUUUACUGAUCAGUAACUCGGCACCUGAUCAAUGGCAUCUCUUCAUAUUUCUAUUUCCUUUGAUGCUUUGGUUCCUAAUUUCUCAAGGUCUUUUCAAGAACAUUUCAAUUGCAAGCACUGAAGCUUUAAGUGUGGACACUGAAGAACUCGAGACCCCUUUUAAGCGGACAAAAAUAGUGUCUAGGGUGUGGGAAGUUUUUGAGAAACUUCCAAUGUUACCAAAUGGAGAUAUGAAGGCUAUGUGUAAGUCUUGUAAGAAAGUUUAUUCAGCUAAACCAUCUGGUGGUACUUCUCAUUUGAAACGUCAUAUGGAAGCAUGCAUCAAGCGAGUUAAUCAUGCAAUAAAGGAAUCUACAUUUUCUCCUGAUAAUUUGACAGAUGGAAUACAUACUUAAAGAAUGCUAGAUUUGAUUUGGAUGAGAUUCAUAGGGCCGUAGGAAUGAUGGUCGUCCUUGAUGGAAAACAAUUGAGGAUGGUUGAAAAUGUAGGUUUUAGAGCUCUAGUGGCUGUUGCACGCCCUGAAUUACAAAUGAUGAAUGCAAGGAACAUUAAAAAGGAUAUAAUGUCCAUAUAUGCCAAUGAGAAGGAAAAUGCUUUUGCUUUGCUGGCAACAUGCCCUGGUCGAAUAUUUUUAUCAUCUUGUAGGUGGAAGUCUAGUGCUGACGAUCAUUAUAACUGUGUAGCUGCACACUAUAGACCAUGAGUGGAAAUUACAGAAAAGGAUUUUGCGAUUCAAACUCAUUCCACCUCCAUAUGAUAGUUUGUCUAUUUGAGAUGAGAUAACGCCAUGUAUGAUCCAAUGGAAUAUUGAACACAAACUUUUGAGCAUUACAUUGGAUUGCUUGUCAGUUGAUGCUUGCGUGGCUUCCAUGCUUAAGUCACGUCUUGAUGCGAAGAAGUAUCUUCCUUGUAAUGUUAUGCUUUUUAACUUACGUUGUUUUGCCCAAAUUAUGGAUUCAAUUGUACAAGCUGGUUUUGAUCUCAUCAAGGAAAUCAUUGGAAAACUCCGUCUUGGUGUUAAGUACGUGAAACAAUCUCCACAUAGGAGAAAGAACUUAUAUAUCAUUGCUAAAACUUUGGAUUUGAAAACUAGAGAAAAGUUGUGUAUUGAUUGUCCAUCUAGGUGGGAGUUCUUUAUACCACAUGCUUGAAAUUGCUUUCAAAUAUAAGAGGGCAUUUCUUUACUUGGGGAAACAGGACAGGAAGUAUAUGUACACCCUAUCAGAAUAUGAGUGGGAAAAAGUUAGUAUCUUGUGCAAAUUUUUGAAGGCCUUCUAUGAGGUAGCUCACAUGUUCUCAAGAAAUAGAUAUCUGACUGCUAAUUUGUAUUUCAGGGGGUUGUGGAAGAUUCAUAAGAACUUGUUGGAAGUAGUGACUGGCCCAGAAAAUUUCAUGACCUGUGUGGUAAAGGAAAUGUUAUUGAAAUUCAUUGGUCAGAAUGUAGCCUGACAUUGUCAUGUGCUGCAAUCUUGGAUCCACGAUACAAGGUCAAGUUUAUUGAGUACUGUUAUACUAAACUUUAUUGCAGUGAUGCUCAACAGUAUAUUGUUACCAUUGUUGACAGUCUUCAUAAGUUGUUUAGUGAGUGCAUAAAGGACUCGUCUUCCUUUUCUGGCAUUAGUGCUGUUACCUCUAAUGUCUCUUAUGAUGGAUAUUACAGCGAUGAGUUUGAAGAUUACAAGACAUUCCAAAGUACCAGUUUUCAGAAUCAAGUGAAGAGGUCUGAGCUGGAUAUUUAUUUAGAAGAGCCCAGCCAUGAUCUGAGUAGUGAAAUUGAUGUCCUAGAAUAUUGGAGGUCACGCUCAGUGAAAUAUCCAGAGCUUUCAAAAAUGUCUCGUGAUAUUUUGACAAUUCCAUUAUAGACAAUUGCUUUGAAUAGCAUGUUUAAUAUGGGUUGUCCAGUGAUAAGCCCUUGUCAAAAUUCGCUAAAAGAAAAGACUUUGCAAGCCUUUAUUUGUCUUCGAGAUUGGCUGCAGCCAUAUGAUAGUGCAAGUAAUUCAACUUUGCAUUUGCAGCCUUAAGUUUCUACGUUCUCAUGCGUAAAAUCUUACUCAUUUACAACUUCUCUAGCGCAUUCUGGCUAUAUGGAAAGCCUGGCUGAUGAAGAAAGCUCCAGUUCAAAUGAAGGGGAUGAUGAUGAUGUUGAUUACGAGCUCUAAAUUAUGUCACUUUUAUAUAAAAUGAGAUUAUAUAGAAAGUUUAGUUGAUGUUUUUGGUUUAUA